CAAAAUGCCGUGUUUGAAGGUUCUUUUCGCUGUCAGCGUGCUCGUCUGCUGUACAUUUUUUUCGGCUGAGGGUCAAAAUAUCUCAGUGGUGGAUCCGUCCGUCUAUCCAUAUUUGGUGAAGUUGAAUUUACUGCGCGAAGCGGAAUUUUUUAUAACUGACACUGAAGUUGGCUUGUUGGUCAGCAGCAAGUAUAUCCUCGCCUCAAAUAGCGUAAUGGACAUGAAGCCAUCGGACAUCACAAUUAUAGACCAGUUGGGCAACUUUCAACACGCAGCUAUAGUGACCGGGAUUGUAAACAAUAAAUUUUUCUAUUUGAAAGUUUGUAUAAAGAUAGAAAGAGAAAAAUACUCGUUCAAUGAGUCAAAAUUCAGUGAACUCUCCGCUGACUCUUCAAACGCAGAGCUACUAUAUUUUGAUUACUUGUCGCGUGUCUUGAAGAGAUUUUCCGUUACAGUAAUGAGCAAAGACAACUGCACCGCCUCUUUCAGUCAGUCGAUCAGCGACACAGAUAUUUGCAUGUACAAUCUAGAAAACACAUUUACUCAAGCUUGCACGUUUAUAUCUGAUGAGCUGAGCGAUAGUUUUAAUCGAUAUCCAGUGAUCGCAAUCAAUGGACAUGUGCAUGGCUUUCUCCAUUUUCUUAGUUGUGAAUUUUCGACCUUCGAGAGCUAUGAUGACUGGACGUUCACAAACCUCGCCCACUUCCGCGCAAAUAUCAUUGCUGAGCUCCCAGCGGUGGAUAAUGUUUGAUAUGAAGUUUACAUUAAUGGAAAUUAAAAACAAACCCAGAAUGUAA
Cloeon dipterum is the source of this 797-nucleotide long non-coding RNA. RefSeq lists it as uncharacterized. The transcript is spliced from 6 exons. The record is from RefSeq and is a predicted model, not a curated record. NCBI's taxonomy places the organism in Eukaryota, Metazoa, Arthropoda, Insecta, Ephemeroptera, Baetidae.